GCCCCCCAGCCCCAGUCAGAGCCAGGGCCUGAGGGAGGCACAGCUGCGCUACACCUCCUCUUCCCCCCAGCACGCAGAACAGGUGGCCAAAGCUGGUGGCUUUAACAACACAGUGAUGUCUGGGGACUCUGUGGGUUGGACUCAGGGCUGCUUCAAGGGUGUGCGGCCCCAAUAUAUCAUUUUUUUGCGGGGCCUUUUCUUGUCUAUAUAAGGAAUUAGAGUCAGCCAAAAUCAGCUUGCGGGGGCAGCCGCGACGGGGAGCACAACUUCUUUCCAAAAUCAACGUGCCAGCAACUUCUGUCGGCAAAUCUCGCCCAACCCCGCAAAGGAAUACCGCCCAUCCCUGCAGCGAUCUGCUAGCCGGGCCGCUUCUGCAAAGGGGCCCGCGCCUGGGUGUCCCCAAAUGACCUCAUAGAUGGGAGUUCUAGACUCCUGGGGUUGGACCUAGCAGGGAGCUGGAGGGCACCCAAAGGGGAGAGACGCUGGGCUAGGGUCCAGCGUUCGCCGCGGGGAACCAGGCGCCCGAGGAGGGCGCAGCAGUGUUAGAAUAUUUCAAGGAAGGGGCUGUAAGGGACCCUGUUUGCCCAGAUCUGAACGUGGCACUGGGCCCUCUACUGCGUCCCAGGCCGUUUCACAGGCACUAGAGACAAAGAACAAGAGAGAACACUUCCAGUUCUCCUAGAGCCAACACGCCAAAGAAGUCAGCGUGGUGUAAGACAGAACAGAAGUCAAGGGAACGACCGCAAGUGUAGAAACGAGAGCGAGUGUAGACAGCUCGUGCUGGUUUUGCUAGGAAGGGCAGCAGAAGAACUGGGCAGUAGCUGGAGAGGGAAAGGAUGUCUCUUUGGAAGAGAGCAGGUAUGGCUUCUCUGCCUUCCAUUCCUGAAUCACUGUCUGGACCACUUUCUCAUCUCCCUGCAAGAAGACGAUUCCAGUCACUCCUCACCCAAGCCACCUCCACCUGAGGCCAGAUGGGGAGACUGAGGCUCAGGCUGGCUAAAUUGUUCAAGCUCACAUUCCGUCUCACUCCUGCACCUACACCUUCAAGAGCUACGCAAGAAUGCCUCUUAAGAAUAAUAAAAAUGAUAACAACAUUAAUGGCUUACACCCAAAGAUUCCUCAACCUCAACAUCACUGACAUGUGGGCUGGAUAAUUACUAACAUUUGCUGUGGGGAGCUGUCCUGUGCCUUGCAGGAUGUGAGCAGCAUCCUGGCUUCUACCGGCCAGAUGCCAAUAGCAGACACCCCACCCCAAAACAGGGUGACAACCAAAUAUGUCUCCGGACAUUGCCAAAUGGCCCCUGAGGAGCAAAAUUACCCUCCUUCAUUGAGAACCGCUGGUUUGCACUUUAUAGUACUUUACUAUGUACCAGGCACUAAGCACGUUACAUAUUUCAAGUACCUACGUUGUAUGUUUACCAUCCCCAUUUAACAUAUGGAGAAACUGAGAGCAAUUAGGUUACUCUUAGUUCCCCAAGGUCAAACAAUGAUUGUGCAGAGCCAGGAUUUCAACGCAGAAGAUCUGGCUCUAUAAUCGAUGGCCUUUACCCCCUCAUACGUAGAAGAGCUGAAAUUACACUAAAGUAUGAAAUACAGUCCACUCGGUGCUGAGCUCAGGAGAAGUUUUAAAAGUGAGAUGAGGAAAGCCAUGGCCACCUAGACUCACGCUGGUGAAACGCCUUUGUCACACUAUGUCUGGCCAGAAGACUGCGUGGACACGGUUGACCCCUGACCCUCUGUGCUCUCUGGAGCCA
Molecule: non-coding RNA, 1754 nt
Organism: Microcebus murinus (gray mouse lemur)
Lineage: Eukaryota; Metazoa; Chordata; Mammalia; Primates; Cheirogaleidae
Source: RefSeq, a predicted model, not a curated record